AGACUGAACGCUGGCGGCAUGGCUAAAACAUGCAAGUCGAACGGACCCGCAAGGGUUAGUGGCGGAAGGGUGAGUAAUACUAUCGAAUGUACCCCGAGGUGGAGGAUAGGCAUGGGAAACUGUGCGUAAUACUUCAUGAUCUCGAGAGAGCAAAGCCGCAAGGCGCCUUGGGAGCAGCGAUAUUCCUAUCAGGUAGUUGGCGGGGUAAUGGCCCACCAAGCCGAAGACGGGUAGCCGGUAUGAGAGUACGGCCGGCCACAUCGGGACUGAGACACUGCCCGGACUCCUACGGGAGGCUGCAGUAACGAAUAUUCCGCAAUGGGCGAAAGCCUGACGGAGCAAUGCCGCGUGUGGGAUGGAAGCGGUUUCGCCGUGUAAACCACUGUCAGAAGAUAGAAAAGAUGAUCAUCUUCAGAGGAAGGGCGACUAACUCUGCGCCAGCAGCCGC
RNAcentral lists this ribosomal RNA (448 nucleotides) under uncultured bacterium. RNAcentral's name for it is "SSU rRNA". It matches the Rfam family "Bacterial small subunit ribosomal RNA", at positions 26 to 518 of the family's 1533-position model. The record is from RNAcentral.